CGGAGUUAGUGGCGGACGGGUGAGUAACACGUGGGAACGUGCCUUUAGGUUCGGAAUAACUCAGGGAAACUUGUGCUAAUACCGAAUGUGCCCUUCGGGGGAAAGAUUUAUCGCCUUUAGAGCGGCCCGCGUCUGAUUAGCUAGUUGGUGAGGUAAAGGCUCACCAAGGCGACGAUCAGUAGCUGGUCUGAGAGGAUGAUCAGCCACAUUGGGACUGAGACACGGCCCAAACUCCUACGGGAGGCAGCAGUGGGGAAUCUUGCGCAAUGGGCGAAAGCCUGACGCAGCCAUGCCGCGUGAAUGAUGAAGGUCUUAGGAUUGUAAAAUUCUUUCACCGGGGACGAUAAUGACGGUACCCGGAGAAGAAGCCCCGGCUAACUUCGUGCCAGCAGCCGCGGUAAUACGAAGGGGGCUAGCGUUGCUCGGAAUUACUGGGCGUAAAGGGAGCGUAGGCGGACAUUUAAGUCAGGGGUGAAAUCCCGGGGCUCAACCUCGGAAUUGCCUUUGAUACUGGGUGUCUUGAGUAUGAGAGAGGUGUGUGGAACUCCGAGUGUAGAGGUGAAAUUCGUAGAUAUUCGGAAGA
RNAcentral lists this ribosomal RNA (583 nucleotides) under uncultured Brevundimonas sp. RNAcentral describes it as "bacterial SSU rRNA". It matches the Rfam family "Bacterial small subunit ribosomal RNA", at positions 87 to 705 of the family's 1533-position model. Lineage: Bacteria; Pseudomonadati; Pseudomonadota; Alphaproteobacteria; Caulobacterales; Caulobacteraceae. The record is from RNAcentral.